CUUACCCGCGGAGCCGGGUCUGACCUGCUACGCUCCUCGGCGGCGAAAAGGCCGGCGCCCCGCAUCGGGACUGCUGCGGUGCGCGGAAGGGGGUUGCCCUAGCGAGAAGACGCCUCUCCUGCUCGUGUGUCGCCAAAAAAACAACAUCAGCGUCACCACCAUCACUAAUGCCCGCUGACGGCUCCGCGUCCCCGUGGGAGUCACCGUUAGCUGUCGCCUCCGGGCAGCACCCGAGCGGCACCUGCCGCAGCUGGGGUGCUGGUUGUUGGCAUGAGCCGGGAGAAGCCUUGCGGGAGCAGCCCUGUCCGAGGGGUGAUCGCUUGCUGGAGUAGAAAAAGGACUAGAGGACAGUAAGGGGAGAAUGAUGUGUUGCCUUGCUGUAUGCACCCUGUAAGGACUGGUCUGGGGCUGCAGAAAGGAAGGAGUACUUCUAGCAGCUUUUUGUAACCUCAUUUCUCUGCUCUCCACCACAUCCUGUAUGAACAGGUCACCAUUUGUACUGGCAGCACAACCAGGACAGCAACAGGGUAUUGAAGUGUGACUGGACAGUCUGCAGUUGCUUGGGCUGUUCUUUGAGUUCUUUUUAAGUGUAAGUGCAACGUUUCUACUGUUGGCAGGGAUAUCCAUGGCUCCUCACAGAUUAUUGAAAUCUUGUGCUGGCAUCAGACGGCUUUCUCAGCAUCCCUGGACACAGCCCUGGUAUUUCCAUGGACUUGUAUAGCCAAGUUUUCUCCAGUAACUCUAAUUCACCCACUCAUGGUCAUGUCUCUCCUCCAUGAAUACCAGGCCUGAAGUCCUAGGAGACCUUGCUGUGUAAAGAAGGUAUUGAGUUCCUCAGGUUUGAUUGCAUCCACUUAGAGUAAAACACCCAGCCUACUCAGUGAGCAGAUACCAUUUUCCUUGUUCAGCUGCUUACCAUUUAUGAGCUGAAGCUCUUUUUGUUACUACUGACAUGCAAGUUAAAAUUCCAGCUGAGCUUUUACUUUCCUGACACCAUUCCUACAUGCCCAGGCAAUGUUUGUAAAUUCCUCCUGUGUAGCCCAUCCCUACUUCCAUCUUCUGUGUAUUCCUUUUUUACACUGGAGUUCUGCCAGAAUCCCAUUUACCCAAGCCGGCCUGCUUAUUUACCUCUUUUUUUCCUGAACACUGAGAUGGCCUGUUGUUACACUUGGGUGAAGCUUCAGAGAUCUCCUCACUGCUGGAAGGAGUGACAGAGGGAAAAGCAGCUGUGAAAGAGGUGGGGAAGAAGAUGUCCUGAGCUGCAGAGCUAAAGAGUCAGAUACCUUUGGAAGGAGUGACAGAGGGAAAAGCAGCUGUGCAAGAGGUGGGGAACAAGAUGUCCUGAGCUGCAGAGCUAAAGAGUCUGCACCUUAGGUCUGCACCUUUGGGUUGACUAGCACUGAGUAAGUUGCAACCCUUUCAUUGUGGCUGGGGCAUUAGUAAUAUCCUCCUGCAUGGAUCAUCUGCUUGCUGCUGACACUGCAGGUUUCUGUGCUGCGGUGCUAAUAGGUUCUCGUCUCUCCUUAGCCACAGGUUUUCAGGAAACUGUAGGGACUUUCAUGAUGUUAGGAAUGCUGCUUCUCUUGGUAACAUUAAAAAAAAAAAAAAGACAGAAAGGAGAAGGAAAUAGUUGAACUUAGUGGUUUUGUGCAUUCUGUACUGUCAAAGGAGCCCGCAUAGUACCUGAAAGUGUAAUUAAAGGCCAUGCAAGCUCAUUAAAUACAGAAUGUGUGUAUGGGGGUGGCGGUGGAAUUAGGAUUGCUCAAGCAAUUUUUAUUCUGGCAUUUCCUAAUGUUUUAAUGUUUAAAUUAGCAAGACUUAAUUAAUUUUCAUUACACAAAAAUAUGGUGAAAAGUGCUGUUGUUACAUAAAUGGAUCCACUAUCCAUUGCUUUUUUCUCGCUAGAUCUCAGGAGCAAAAGGAGGUUUCCCCCAGGGAAUUUUGAUU
Serinus canaria (Common canary) is the source of this 1947-nucleotide long non-coding RNA. RefSeq lists it as uncharacterized. Lineage: Eukaryota; Metazoa; Chordata; Aves; Passeriformes; Fringillidae. The record is from RefSeq and is a predicted model, not a curated record. The transcript is spliced from 3 exons.